GACGAACGCUGGCGGCGUGCUUAACACAUGCAAGUCGAACGGAAAGGCCCUGCUUUUGUGGGGUGCUCGAGUGGCGAACGGGUGAGUAACACGUGAGUAACCUGCCCUUGACUUUGGGAUAACUUCAGGAAACUGGGGCUAAUACCGGAUAGGAGCUCCUGCUGCAUGGUGGGGGUUGGAAAGUUUCGGCGGUUGGGGAUGGACUCACGGCUUAUCAGCUUGUUGGUGGGGUAGUGGCUUACCAAGGCUUUGACGGGUAGCCGGCCUGAGAGGGUGACCGGGCACAUUGGGACUGAGAGACGGCCCAGACGCCUACGGGAGGCAGCAGUGGGGAAUAUUGCACAAUGGGGGGAAGCCUGAUGCAGCAACGCCGCGUGCGUGAUGACGGCCUUCGGGUUAUAAACCGCUUUCGCCUGUGACGAAGCGUGAGUGACGGUAAUGGGUAAAGAAGCACCGGCUAACUACGUG
This 468-nucleotide ribosomal RNA is filed under the name uncultured bacterium. Its description in RNAcentral is "partial 16S ribosomal RNA". It matches the Rfam family "Bacterial small subunit ribosomal RNA", at positions 28 to 507 of the family's 1533-position model. The record is from RNAcentral.